RNAcentral lists this ribosomal RNA (773 nucleotides) under bacterium sp. RCKAN13. RNAcentral's name for it is "bacterial SSU rRNA". It matches the Rfam family "Bacterial small subunit ribosomal RNA", at positions 8 to 766 of the family's 1533-position model. The record is from RNAcentral.
AGAGUUUGAUCCUGGCUCAGGACGAACGCUGGCGGCGUGCCUAAUACAUGCAAGUCGAGCGGACCGGAUCGGAGCUUGCUCUGGUUUGGUCAGCGGCGGACGGGUGAGUAACACGUGGGCAACCUGCCCGCAAGACCGGGAUAACUCCGGGAAACCGGAGCUAAUACCGGAUAACACCGAAGACCGCAUGGUCUUUGGUUGAAAGGCGGCCUUUGGCUGUCACUUGCGGAUGGGCCCGCGGCGCAUUAGCUAGUUGGUGAGGUAACGGCUCACCAAGGCGACGAUGCGUAGCCGGCCUGAGAGGGUGACCGGCCACACUGGGACUGAGACACGGCCCAGACUCCUACGGGAGGCAGCAGUAGGGAAUCUUCCGCAAUGGGCGAAAGCCUGACGGAGCGACGCCGCGUGAGCGAAGAAGGCCUUCGGGUCGUAAAGCUCUGUUGUGAGGGACGAAGGGGCGCCGUUCGAAGAGGGCGGCGCGGUGACGGUACCUCACGAGGAAGCCCCGGCUAACUACGUGCCAGCAGCCGCGGUAAUACGUAGGGGGCGAGCGUUGUCCGGAAUUAUUGGGCGUAAAGCGCGCGCAGGCGGUCCCUUAAGUCUGAUGUGAAAGCCCACGGCUCAACCGUGGAGGGUCAUUGGAAACUGGGGGACUUGAGUGCAGAGAGGAGAGCGGAUUCCACGUGUAGCGGUGAAUGCGUAGAGAUGUGGAGGACACCAGUGGCGAAGCGGCUCUCUGGCCUGCAACUGACGCUGAGGCGCGAAGCGUGGGA